RNAcentral lists this ribosomal RNA (825 nucleotides) under Leptochidium albociliatum. RNAcentral describes it as "LSU rRNA". It matches the Rfam family "Eukaryotic large subunit ribosomal RNA", at positions 103 to 945 of the family's 3401-position model. The record is from RNAcentral. Lineage: Eukaryota; Fungi; Ascomycota; Lecanoromycetes; Peltigerales; Placynthiaceae.
AACAGCUCAAAUUUGAAAUCUGUCCCUCUUGCGGGGGCCCGAGUUGUAAUUUGUAGAGGGUGUUUCGGGCGCGAUGCCGGUUUAAGUUCCUUGGAACAGGACGUCGCAGAGGGUGAGAAUCCCGUAUGUGACCGGCGAUCAAGCCCGUGUGAAACCCCUUCGACGAGUCGAGUUGUUUGGGAAUGCAGCUCAAAAUGGGUGGUAAAUUUCAUCUAAAGCUAAAUACCGGCCAGAGACCGAUAGCGCACAAGUAGAGUGAUCGAAAGAUGAAAAGCACUUUGGAAAGAGAGUUAAACAGUACGUGAAAUUGUUGAAAGGGAAGCGCUUGCGAUCAGACUUGCUCGCGGGUGAUCAAUCGCUAUUCGUAGCGGUGCACUCGCCCGCGAUCAGGCCAGCAUCGGUUUGGGCGGUGGGAUAAAUGACCCCGAAUGUAGCUUCUUUCGGGAGUGUAUAGCCUUGGGUCGCAAUGCCGCCAGCCCGGACCGAGACCGCGCUUCGCUAGGAUGCUGGCGUAAUGGUCGCAAGCGACCCGUCUUGAAACACGGACCAAGGAGUCUAACAUCUAUGCGAGUGUUUGGGUGUCAAACCCAGGCGCGGAAUGAAAGUGAACGGAGGUGGGAGCCCGUGAAACGGCGCACCAUCGACCGAUCCAGAUGUCUUCGGAUGGAUUUGAGUAGGAGCAUAGCUGUUGGGACCCGAAAGAUGGUGAACUAUGCCUGGAUAGGGUGAAGCCAGAGGAAACUCUGGUGGAGGCUCGCAGCGGUUCUGACGUGCAAAUCGAUCGUCGAAUCUGGGUAUAGGGGCGAAAGACUAAUCGAACCAUCU